AGUGAACGCUGGCGGUAGGCCUAACACACGCAAGUCGAACGGCAGCACAGUAAGAGCUUGCUCUUACGGGUGGCGAGUGGCGGACGGGUGAGGAAUACAUCGGAAUCUACUUUUUCGUGGGGGAUAACGUAGGGAAACUUACGCUAAUACCGCAUACGACCUACGGGUGAAAGCAGGGGAUCUUCGGACCUUGCGCGAUUGAAUGAGCCGAUGUCGGAUUAGCUAGUUGGCGGGGUAAAGGCCCACCAAGGCGACGAUCCGUAGCUGGUCUGAGAGGAUGAUCAGCCACACUGGAACUGAGACACGGUCCAGACUCCUACGGGAGGCAGCAGUGGGGAAUAUUGGACAAUGGGCGCAAGACUGAUCCAGCCAUACCGCGUGGGUGAAGAAGGCCUUCGGGUUGUAAAGCCCUUUUGUUGGGAAAGAAAAGCAGCAGGUUAAUACCCCGCUGUUCUGACGGUACCCAAAGAAUAAGCACCGGCUAACUUCGU
RNAcentral lists this ribosomal RNA (491 nucleotides) under uncultured bacterium. RNAcentral's name for it is "partial 16S ribosomal RNA". It matches the Rfam family "Bacterial small subunit ribosomal RNA", at positions 29 to 506 of the family's 1533-position model. The record is from RNAcentral.